This 1034-nucleotide long non-coding RNA is filed under the name Nicotiana benthamiana. RNAcentral's name for it is "long non-coding RNA (NBEN_LNC032091)". The record is from RNAcentral. Lineage: Eukaryota; Viridiplantae; Streptophyta; Magnoliopsida; Solanales; Solanaceae.
AAACUCUUUUUUUUUAAUGCAUUUAAUCAUUUCUUACCUAAUACUUACUUCAAAAAACAAAACCCUAAAAGGGAUUGAUUCGCCGCCAGAUUUUUUAUUCUCCUGUCUCCCAUUUAACCUUCAUCACCUCUCUUAUUAGCAACAGUUUUCUUUACCUGCUGAUCUAUGUUGAAAAAAAUGAACUUUCUUGGAGUUUAAUUAGUCAAAGAUGGGAUUUUUAUCAACACCAAAGCUUCAAUUUUCAGGUUAUACAUGUAGGUUUUUAUAGUUUUAAGGUUUAUAUGAUAAAGUUUUGGCUCUUUUACCUUUCUUUGGUUGCUAGGUUUUGUGGGUAGUGAUUAUAUUUGUGUAGAAUCGAGUAUAUAAUUGGUGUUUGAUCAUGGAGUUUUCUUGAUACUAUUUUAUUUGAUCAAAGAUUGGGUUUUUAUUAGCUUAAAGGUUUGAUUUUGAGGUUGUGUACGUGGGGUUUUGUAGGUUUUAAGGUUUUUAUAUAUGACAAAGUUAUGAUUUUUGAUUAGCUUUCUUGGGUUGUUAAGGCUUGUGGGUAUUGAUUAUAUUUGUUGUGGAAUGAGUGAGUGAAGAUGGUAUCUGAAUUGGGUAGGAGACCGAUGAUCGGGAACAAUGAAAAUUCAUUUGGAGAUGAGUUUGAGAAAGAGAUUGGGAUGUUACUUCAUGAUCAGCGAAGACAAGAAGCUGACGAUCGCGAAAAGGAGCUGAAUAUGUAUAGAAGUGGCUCAGCUCCACCUACUGUUGAGGGUUUUGGUUGGGAACAAUGAAAAUUCAUUUGGAGACGAGUUUGACAAAGAGAUUGGGAUGUUACUUCAUGAUCAGUGAAGACAAGAAGCUGACGAUCGCGAAAAGGAGCUGAAUAUGUAUAGAAGUGGCUCAGCUCCACCUACUGUUGAGGGUUCAUUGAGUGCAGUGGGUGGAUUGCUUAACAAUAAUGGUUUCAUGUCUGAGGAGGAGCUUAGGUCUGAUCCCGCUUACUUAUCUUACUAUUACUCGAACGUAAACCUUAAUCCUAGGUUGCCUCC